Molecule: transfer RNA, 92 nt
Filed under: Microtetraspora sp. NBRC 13810
Lineage: Bacteria; Bacillati; Actinomycetota; Actinomycetes; Streptosporangiales; Streptosporangiaceae
Description: tRNA-Arg
Source: RNAcentral
AGUACCCGUGGGAGCCGGGCGCGGUCCCGGCCCGGACGGGAGAUGUGGUGGAGGAAGACGCUAAAGGGCGGUUCAGCCGCCGUCAGGUGCUG